This 492-nucleotide ribosomal RNA is filed under the name uncultured bacterium. RNAcentral's name for it is "partial 16S ribosomal RNA". It matches the Rfam family "Bacterial small subunit ribosomal RNA", at positions 29 to 507 of the family's 1533-position model. The record is from RNAcentral.
AGUGAACGCUGGCGGUAGGCCUAACACAUGCAAGUCGAACGGCAGCACAGUAAGAGCGUGCUCUUCCGGGUGGCGAGUGGCGGGCGUGAGAGGAAUACAUCGGGAUCUACUUUUUCGUGGGGGUUAACGUAGGGAAGCUUAAUCUAAUACCGCAUACGCCGUACGGGUGAAAGCAGGGGAUCUUCGGACCUUGCGCGAUUGAACGAGCCGAUGUCGGACUAGCUAGUUGGCGGGGUAAAGACCCACCAAGGCGACGAUCCGUAGCUGGUCUGAGAGGCUGAUCGCCGACACGAGAGCUGGACCGCGGUCCAGAGGCCUACGGGAGGCAGCAGUGGGGAAUGUUGGGCAGUGGGCGCAAGCCUGAUACAGUCAUACCGCGUGGGUGGAGAAGGCCUUCGGGUUGUAAAGCCCUUUUGUUGGUAAAGAAAAGCAGCAGCUUAAGACCCCGCUGUUCUGACGGUAACCAAAGAAUAAGCACCGGCUAACUACGUG